This 1314-nucleotide ribosomal RNA is filed under the name uncultured bacterium. RNAcentral describes it as "bacterial SSU rRNA". It matches the Rfam family "Bacterial small subunit ribosomal RNA", at positions 28 to 1367 of the family's 1533-position model. The record is from RNAcentral.
GAUGAACGCUGGCGGCGCGCCUAACACAUGCAAGUCGAACGGCACCUAUCUUCGGAUAGAAGCGAGUGGCGAACGGCUGAGUAACACGUGGAGAACCUGCCCCCUCCCCCGGGAUAGCCGCCCGAAAGGACGGGUAAUACCGGAUACCCCCGGGCGCCGCAUGGCGCCCGGGCUAAAGCCCCGACGGGGAGGGGAUGGCUCCGCGGCCCAUCAGGUAGACGGCGGGGUGACGGCCCACCGUGCCGACAACGGGUAGCCGGGUUGAGAGACCGACCGGCCAGAUUGGGACUGAGACACGGCCCAGACUCCUACGGGAGGCGGCAGUGGGGAAUCUUGCGCAAUGGGGGGAACCCUGACGCAGCGACGCCGCGUGCGGGACGGAGGCCUUCGGGUCGUAAACCGCUUUCAGCAGGGAAGAGUCAAGACUGUACCUGCAGAAGAAGCCCCGGCUAACUACGUGCCAGCAGCCGCGGUAAUACGUAGGGGGCGAGCGUUAUCCGGAUUCAUUGGGCGUAAAGCGCGCGUAGGCGGCCCGGCAGGCCGGGGGUCGAAGCGGGGGGCUCAACCCCCCGAAGCCCCCGGAACCUCCGCGGCUUGGGUCCGGUAGGGGAGGGUGGAACACCCGGUGUAGUGGUGGAAUGCGCAGAUAUCGGGUGGAACACCGGUGGCGAAGGCGGCCCUCUGGGCCGAGACCGACGCUGAGGCGCGAAAGCUGGGGGAGCGAACAGGAUUAGAUACCCUGGUAGUCCCAGCCGUAAACGAUGGACGCUUGGUGUGGGGGGGCGAUCCCCCCGUGCCGCAGCCAACGCAUUAAGCGUCCCGCCUGGGGAGUACGGCCGCAAGGCUAAAACUCAAAGGAAUUGACGGGGGGCCGCACAAGCAGCGGAGCAUGUGGCUUAAUUUGAAGCAACGCGAAGAACCUUACCAGGGCUUGACAUAUGGGUGAAGCGGGGGAGACCCCGUGGCCGAGAGGAGCCCAUACAGGUGGUGCAUGGCUGUCGUCAGCUCGUGUCGCGAGAUGUUGGGUUAAGUCCCGCAACGAGCGCAACCCCCGCCGCGUGUUGCCAUCGGGUGAUGCCGGGAACCUACGCGGGACCGCCGCCGUCAAGGCGGAGGAGGGCGGGGAGGACGUCAAGUCAUCAUGCCCCUUAUGCCCUGGGCUGCACACGUGCUACAAUGGCCGGUACAGAGGGAUGCCACCCCGCGAGGGGGAGCGGAUCCCGGAAAGCCGGCCCCAGUUCGGAUUGGGGGCUGCAACCCGCCCCCACGAAGUCGGAGUUGCUAGUAAUCGCGGAUCAGCAUGCCGCGGUGAAU